Molecule: long non-coding RNA, 543 nt
Organism: Tribolium madens (black flour beetle)
Lineage: Eukaryota; Metazoa; Arthropoda; Insecta; Coleoptera; Tenebrionidae
Exons: 3
Source: RefSeq, a predicted model, not a curated record
CGCGUUCAUAUACUCGUACUACCAGAACUGUUCGUAUUUGUACUGUUUGUAUUUUAAAUUAAUAUUAAACGAAAAGUCAGUUACUGAGUACCUAGUGAAGUUCAAAUCAUUGCGUUCCAGGUUGAUUGAUAUUAUUCUAUUAAUUUCGUUUUUGUGCUUUUUUAUCAAUUUGAGAAAAAACAAUGGAGCAAAAAAUGGGGUAAAAAAUUCAAGCAUAGAAGAACUGAGGUUAUUUCAGUCGGGUCUUCUAUACGAGAAGUUAAGAAUGGGAUUCGAAAUAAAGGCAAAAGUGUUUGUUGACCGGGAAAAGGUCGAAAAAACAGUGAAAGCCAAUUUCCGAAAACUUACCCUACAAUCUAUUUGAUCCUCCCAUCAACAAUUUUAAACUUCUGAGACAGCAAAUGGUUGAGAUGACUAUAACAAUACGUUUCAACGACAUUUUAGAUAUUAACAUCGAAUUUCACACGUUUGAGGAAUGUGAACGCUUCAAACAAGCUUUGAGGCAUUUGGAUCCCGAUGGUUCCGAUGACACGCUGAAUGGAG